This 441-nucleotide ribosomal RNA is filed under the name uncultured bacterium. RNAcentral's name for it is "partial 16S ribosomal RNA". It matches the Rfam family "Bacterial small subunit ribosomal RNA", at positions 338 to 795 of the family's 1533-position model. The record is from RNAcentral.
CCUACGGGUGGCAGCAGUGGGGAAUAUUGCACAAUGGGCGAAAGCCUGAUGCAGCAACGCCGCGUGAAGGAAGACGGCUUUCGGAUUGUAAACCUCUGUUCUUAGUGAAGAAUAAUGCCGGUAAUUAAGGAGCAAGCCCCGGCUACCUACGUGCCAGCAGCGGCGGUAAUACGUAGGUGGCAAGCGUUGUCCGGAAUUAUUGGGUGUAAAGGGAGCGUAGGCGGGAAGCCAAGUCAGCAGUGAAAACUACGGGCUUAACCUGGAGACUGCAGUUGAAACUGGCAUGCUUGAGUGAAGUAGAGGUUGGCGGAAUUCCGAGUGUAGCGGUGAAAUGCGUAGAUAUUCGGAGGAACACCGGUGGCGAAGGCGGCCGACUGGGCUGUAACUGACGCUGAGGCUCGAAAGUGUGGGGAGCAAACAGGAUUAGAUACCCCAGUAGUC